Molecule: ribosomal RNA, 645 nt
Filed under: Triticum aestivum (bread wheat)
Lineage: Eukaryota; Viridiplantae; Streptophyta; Magnoliopsida; Poales; Poaceae
Description: partial small subunit ribosomal RNA
Source: RNAcentral
AUGAGCGUUUUCUUGGGCCAUCCUAGAAACAUAGAUAGGGUCAACGACGGAACGAAUAACGAAACUUUACGACAGCUUUUUCGUACACGUUCACUUGCAUCACAUACACAAGUGCUCUCUGAACCGUGCAAUAAGAUCCCGCCUGCUUGCAGAAAUGAAUGGAUCAGAAAGGGGGCUGGGUUCUAUUUCCGGGCCGGGCAGGAGGUGAAGGCCAGAAGAAGAAGAGAAGUGCGCCUUCCCGGUAAGGAAGAGGAUAAAAAGGUGAUAAGCAAGUGUAGUUCACCGGUUCCACCGAAUGCUCCUAUCUCUCGGCAAAGAUUGUGUGAGUGUGCAGUUAUGCUUCGGAUGCUUCGCCAUGGAAUAGAUCGAUUCAGUUCCCCUUCUUUUCCGGUGCACUCGCUUUGUAUCUCCGACACACAAGGAAGGACGCGGUGGGAAGAAAGCUGCCCUAGCCUCUGUCUGGUCGAUCAUUCCGCUGGCAUCUUGCAUUCACGCCUCCGUUUGACUGCCGCUCGGGAAUGUAGUUGUAGAUACUCGUCGCCAUAUUCAAUAUGUCACUUAGUCAUAUCUGCCUCGCAGCGGGUCAGCACCUUCGAAAGAAAGGGAGGGAGGACUUCAUUCAGUGACUCCGUGAUCGCCCUAUAA